GGUUCUACCGCCGGUCUUAUCGGUCGCAUUAUAACGUGCGUCCCUUCCCGUUCUUUUUAUCUUCUCUAUUUUGGGACGUUUGAAAAACCUUCUCGAUCAUCGUUCAUUUAUUCUACUCACGCAGUGUGUGGAUCAUCUUGGCCGACGGAGAGAAAAAAAUGGAGGAUGAACGAUCCAAGUUGAUGGUGAAAUAAUUGCAGCUACUACAGUUUUAGUGCGACGGCCUUCUGUUUCAUUCGGAGCUCGCUAUCCAGUUUUUGCAGAGAAUCAUUAAAGGCCCGGUUUCAACCCAAUCACUGUGGACAGACACCAAGGGUCCAUCCAUCAUGCGGCGCAUCUUGUGAUGUCGGUCGACGUGUGUGGUUCGUGUAGAAGACAACACGAAAAAAGAGUGCUGCUGCGUCAAAGUAUAUAUGUCUAAAACCUACUGUGACCGCCAUAAAACUGAGGGGGGGAAAGACAGGAGACGACAGAGCGUGACGCCAAAUCGAUGGAAAAGGACCAGUGCACGGUGGAUUAUUAUUAUCAUUCGUGGUCGAAACGGUGGUCAACGACGACGAGAUCAGCUUCAAGAAUAGUGACCUCAGCCGAUAACAUUUCGACUAGUGCGGCUACGCAUCAACGCGGCUGCCGAUGCAACUGGAUUCGAAUGAGGCGAAGGAUCUUUGCUAAGUUAUGCCGGACGACGAUUGUAAUUGUCCUAACGCUAACGAUUCUAGUCAACCUCAUCUUUAUUCUGGAAUUCGGUUACAAGUCAAAACUCAGCUUUUCUGACGAACCUACCAGCAGAGCCAAUAUCAGCGAUGAUGGACAAUCAUACCAAUAUCUAACACUGGAAAUUGUUUCUAGUCAAUCGCGCGCAGCAGUCAGCGUAGAUGGAGCUAUGAUGAUUGACGAUAACGAAGUUGGUAAAGGAAGAGGUAUUCACGUACUAGUCUUGAAUCAGAGAACGGGUGCCGUAAUGGCUCGACAAAUCUUCGACACCUAUUCACCGCACGAAGACGAAGCGAUGAGCCUCUUUGUCAACUUAGUAUCAAAAGGGAGAAUUAUCGUCAUGACCAUCAAAGACGAAGGUUCAUUUCAUUUGAAGCAGCCGACCAGAGACCUCUUACAACGCUACGGAUCGAAGAAUUCGCAGAUAUUGGGUUGGCGGGAUACGUGGAUCUUCGUCUUUGAAAAAGGGGACAACCCACAGCUCAGGGGAGUUGGUGGCAGAUGUUGCGAGCAUUUGGGUAAAAGCUCCAAUUUCCUGUCGUGGGGACAGCCCCUUUCGGUGACCUGCAAAGUUCGCCUAUCGACUGACCAACAUGAAGAGGAGUGCCAAUGGCCUGACACGGAGGAAAAUCAACGCCGUCGGGAAUUCUGCAGCCGAGUCGAAGGCUACGGAAGCGUCUGUGAUUGUCACCAACCUACCCCCAUCACUUUUCAGCCGUCUCCGAUUCCAAAUAAUCAAAUUCGUAAUGUUCCUGUGGCUAUCAUCGCCAGCGACCGUCCUCGUUACUUGUACAGAAUGCUGAGAUCUCUAUUGAGAGUGGGUGGUGCCAAUAAAGAGAUGAUGACCGUGUUUAUUGACGGCUAUUACGAAGAGCCAAUGCAAGUGGUUCGCCUUUUCGGUUUGAAGGGGAUCCAGCACAAGCCACUGGGCAUCAAGAACGCCCGGAUUUCUCAACAUUACAAAGCUUCUCUAUCAACUCUCUUCAAACAGCAUCCGGAUUCACGUCACGCCAUCUUAGUGGAGGAAGAUCUGGAUGUCGCGCCCGAUUUCUUCCAUUAUUUUAGUCAACUGGUGCAUUUGCUGGACGAAGAUCCAACACUUUAUUGCGUGUCGGCAUGGAACGACCAUGGCUACCAGCACAGCGCAGUUAACGCGACGCUGCUCUACCGAGUCGAUACAAUGCCAGGGCUCGGAUGGAUGUUGACGAGGAAACUCUUCAAAGAAGAGCUGGAAACGUUAUGGCCGACUCAAGAUAAAAUGUGGGAUUGGGAUAUGUGGAUGAGGAAACCGAGCGUCCGAAGAGACAGGGAAUGUGUGAUUCCCGACGUGCCACGCACCUAUCACUUCGGUGCCAGCGGCUUGAACAUGAAUUCCUUUUUCCAGGAUACUUAUUUCCGUAAACGGGCACUCAAUAAUCAAGCGGACGUUCAACUGCACGAUAUUGAGAACAUGAAGGCUAUUAAUUACGAGCGAGUCGUCGAAACGGCCGUGUCCAAUGCGACGGUGCUUGAUCACACCAUUUCACCUUGCGAAGAAUCUUUCAUUCCCAACGUCACGAUGGUUUUUAAACAAUAAUUUUAUUGAAUUUAAGGGCGAGACGUUUGUGGUGUAUAUGAAAAUGGAGCACGCACGGGACACCGUCACCUGGUUGCAAAUCGCCAAGUGCUUCAAAAUUUGGGA
Molecule: unclassified non-coding RNA, 2395 nt
Filed under: Daphnia magna
Lineage: Eukaryota; Metazoa; Arthropoda; Branchiopoda; Diplostraca; Daphniidae
Description: protein O-linked-mannose beta-1,2-N- acetylglucosaminyltransferase 1, transcript variant X1
Source: RNAcentral